CCUACGGGAGGCAGCAGUGAGGAAUAUUGGUCAAUGGGCGCGAGCCUGAACCAGCCAAGUAGCGUGAAGGAUGACGGUCCUACGGGGUGUAAACUUCUUUUAUAAAGGAAUAAAGUGAGGCACGUGUGCCCUUUUGUAUGUACUUUAUGAAUAAGGAUCGGCUAACUCCGUGCCAGCAGCCGCGGUAAUACGGAGGAUCCGAGCGUUAUCCGGAUUUAUUGGGUUUAAAGGGAGCGUAGAUGGGUUGUUAAGUCAGGUGUGAAAGUUUGCGGCUCAACCGUAAAAUUGCCAUUGAUACUGGCAGCCUUGAGUGCAGUUGAGGUAGGCGGAAUUCGUGGUGUAGCGGUGAAAUGCUUAGAUAUCACGAAGAACUCCGAUUGCGAAGGCAGCUUACUAAACUGCCACUGACAUUGAUGCUCGAAAGUGUGGGUAUCAAACAGGAUUAGAUACCCUUGUAGUC
Molecule: ribosomal RNA, 460 nt
Filed under: uncultured bacterium
Lineage: Bacteria
Description: partial 16S ribosomal RNA
Rfam family: Bacterial small subunit ribosomal RNA
Source: RNAcentral